AAAUUUUCUUUGAAUUGCUAGCUAGUACAUUUAGUAAAAUUUUGAGAAAGAAAGGUAGUGAUAAUUUGAAAGAGUUAAUGAGACUAUAGAGGAAGAAAGAUCCAUAGUGGAUUAUGAUAGUUCUCAACAAUAAGAAAAAAAAUCAAUGAGAUAAAUUGAUCUCAAUUUAAAAACUAAUUCAUUCAAAUGUAUGCGGGAGUUUGUCAUCUGGUGAAGUAAAGAAGGUGUAUAUGAAAUGAAAUAGUAGUUUUUAUGUCCAAGGAAAACUAAGAAAUUUUAAAUGGAACCUAGAGGGAAUCUAGGAUAUGAGUAAUGAGGUUUUAAACCAAAUGCACUUAAGGUCUUUGACAAAAU
RNAcentral lists this long non-coding RNA (354 nucleotides) under Panax ginseng (ginseng). RNAcentral describes it as "long non-coding RNA (PGIN_LNC015064)". Lineage: Eukaryota; Viridiplantae; Streptophyta; Magnoliopsida; Apiales; Araliaceae. The record is from RNAcentral.